UGGCUCAGAACGAACGCUGGCGGCGUGCCUAAUACAUGCAAGUCGAGCGGAUCUUCUCCUUCGGGAGAAGGUUAGCGGCGGACGGGUGAGUAACACGUAGGCAACCUGCCCACAAGACCGGGAUAACAUUCGGAAACGAAUGCUAAGACCGGAUACGCAAGCCUGGGGCAUCUCGGGCUUGGGAAACACGGUGCAAGCUGUGGCUUGUGGAUGGGCCUGCGGCGCAUUAGCUAGUUGGUGAGGUAACGGCCCACCAAGGCGAGGAUGCGUAGCCGACCUGAGAGGGUGAACGGCCACACUGGGACUGAGACACGGCCCAGGAUCCUACGGGAGGCAGC
Molecule: ribosomal RNA, 338 nt
Filed under: uncultured Cohnella sp.
Lineage: Bacteria; Bacillati; Bacillota; Bacilli; Caryophanales; Paenibacillaceae
Description: bacterial SSU rRNA
Rfam family: Bacterial small subunit ribosomal RNA
Source: RNAcentral